This 1233-nucleotide long non-coding RNA is filed under the name Anser cygnoides (Swan goose). RNAcentral describes it as "lncRNA (ENSACDG00005014112.1)". The record is from RNAcentral. Lineage: Eukaryota; Metazoa; Chordata; Aves; Anseriformes; Anatidae.
AUGUCAAGUGUACUGGCUAGGUAUCACCUCUACCCAACAGGCUGGCUGAUCCGUCCCUUUGCCAUCGAGCGCAAUGGGAACAAAGGCAGGUCUAACGAGGUACCAAAGCCGUCGCCGCCUUACAGCCAGGCGCUCACGCCUUGCCUACAACAGGUCUCAGAGCACGACGGACGGCUGACUUCCCUGAAGCCCUGCCUGACCAUACCCACCCAAGAGAUGCCGAGCUCCUUGAUUUCAACCUGCAAACGGCAAACAGCAGGCAAGGCGAGCAGCAGACUGGGCACACGCACAAAAAUGGCUCCCCUUAGCCCGACCCGCUCCCUUCAGCGCGUUUGCCCGGCCGAAGCGCUGGGCUCUGUGACCACAGCCCCGGGCCGGGCGCCGACAGGCCCCUCGCCUCACCGACCCCCGGGUCCCCAGGCCCGUGCACGGCUUAGGGCGGGGACCCUGCUGAGGCUCGGUGCAGGGGGGGCCUUCACCGGGGCCGGGGCGGAGGCAGGUGCCGCCCCCGCCGGCAGGUGCCCGCCCGCNNNNNNNNNNNNNNNNNNNNCGCGGCCUUCGCCGCCCAGCGCCGCCUUCAGCCGCGCCGCCGUCGCCCCCUUGUCCCGGCCGCUGGCGCCCGCCCCCGCCAUGACGGGGCACCGCGGGGCCGUUACGGCUGCGCCGGGCUCCCGGCUCUGGGGCUCCCCCUUCCCUUCCCUUCCCUGCCCUCCCCUCCCAGCGGCACCUCCCUCUCGCGAUAGCCGCGGAACCGGCGCCCUCCCGGCGCUGCCUCUCCCCUCCCCUGACACUGAGCCCUCCCCUUCCUCUGCCCGCCCCGCCGCACUGGCAGCGCGCAGGUGCGCGGGCACCGCCGGCCCGCAACACGUCCUUCCCGCAACAUGUCGCUGUCACCCCGCAACAUGUCGCCGCCCGACCCGACCGGCCCCGCCACGCGCGGGAUGCGAGUUCACAGGACCACAGAAUGUCCCGAGUUGGGAGGGACCCACAAGGAUCAUCCAGUCCGACUCCUGGCACCACACAGGUCUACCCAACAAUUCAGACCGUAUGGCUAAGAGCACAGUCCAAACGCUUCUUGAACUCCGACAGGGUUGGUGCCGUGACCACGGCCCUGGGGAGCCUGUUCCAGUGUGCAACCACCCGUUGGGUGAAGAACCUCUUCCUGAUGUCCAGCCUGAACCUCCCCUGUUGCAGCUUGACACCAUUCCCUCGGGUCCUAUCGCUGGUCACUAA